Onychostoma macrolepis is the source of this 1827-nucleotide non-coding RNA. Lineage: Eukaryota; Metazoa; Chordata; Actinopteri; Cypriniformes; Cyprinidae. The record is from the annotation of a RefSeq genome assembly.
CAUGCGUUUUAAAUAUAGCCUAAUAGGAACUAAAUGUACAGACCGCUUGUCCGUUUUGCAAGAAAGAAGCUUAGACUGAAUUAAAAGGAUAACUAGUCGAAUUUGUGGCUUAGGAUAAUAAAUAAAAGUGACUUGUCAUACGAGCGUAAUACGUAAUAGCUAUUUUUGUACAAUAUCCAUGGGUAAAACUGUCAGUGUGACUAUGCUUUUGACUACUGGGGGAAAGGAACCAUGGUCACUGUCUCGUCAGCUCAACCAUCUCCACCAAAGUCAGUCUUCGGCAUGUCUCAGUGUACUUCUGAUUCUGAUGGAUUCGUCACCGUCGGCUGCUUGGCAAGAGGUUUCUCACCUGCGGACUCACUCACUUUCAAAUGGAAGGAUACUAAUAAAGAUUUGAGUGAAUUUGUGCAGUAUCCAUCAUUCGGGCAGGAUGGAGACUAUACCAAAAUCAGCCAUAUGCGUAUCAGAAAAAGCGACUGGGUUCCUGAAAACCCUUACACAUGUCAAGCUACAAAUUCUGAAGGCUCAAGAGAGGCUAAAGUUGAAGUUCGAGCUACACCAACAGCCCCAACAACAGCUCCACCAGCAGCCCCACCUUCAGGCUCAUGUACACUGACACUGAAGCCACCACUUCAGAGAGAAAUAUUUGUUCAUAAUAAAGUUGUCUUGGAAGCUGUUGUUUCUGGAGAUAUAAAAGAUACAGUGUCAUGUACAGUGAAUAAUGCUGAGAGACAAAAAGUCGAUUUUUCUAUUAACAUUUCACAGUCUACAAAAAAAUACAAUGUCACUGUUGAUACAAAGAAAUGGUUUAAUGGUGAAAAAGUCACUUGCACCAUCCGUGACACAAAUAACAAAGAAAUCAAGCAGGAGAUCAGUUUAAAAAAAGGAGAUGGAAAGACACCCAGUGUUUUCAUUUACAAACCUGAUAAUAUUGGCACAGGUCCUGUCUCUCAUGUGUGUGAGGUCACCAGCCCUAACCUUGGCGAUGUCUAUAUCAUGUGGAAACUGGCUGACGGGCAUUACAGAGAGGGCAGAACCAGUGCUCCCAUCCAUCAAAAGGACUCCAAGUCUGUUCUCAGCAUCCUAACAGUUUCAAAAGAAGAGUAUGAAAAUCUCAAAGCCAUCAUCACCUGUGCAGUCAAACAUGCCAACAUGAACAAUAUAAGUGCUCCAUUACAAGAGUCAACAAGCAAAAGUGAGCCACCUGAGCCAGAGAAUGGAUGUGCUCUAGACUGCAAUAAAGAUGUUGAGGAGGAGGAUGAGUUCAGAAGUCUCUGGUCCACUGCCACCUCAUUCAUCUUCCUCUUCCUCUUUUCUCUGACCUACAGUGCGGUGCUCAGCUUCUUCAAGGUGAAGCAGUGAUGAUUUGUUAAAAGAACAUGUGAAGACUCCAAGGUUUCUUAUUUGUUUUGUGACUGUAAUUAAUGUUAGUCUAAUCUCUCUCUCUCCUUUGCUCUGUCUGUUCCUAUCUUUCUGUAAGUUUGUCUGAAAAACAUAUAGUCUUAAUGAAAUGUUGAAACUACAUAAUUUGCCUCUGUGCACAUAUUCUUGAAGACACUGACAAAUAUGUACUGAGUGUUCACACUCAUCAAUAAAGACUUAUGUCUGUCAAAUCAUCUAGAUUUUACUCCUUCAAAUAUUACAUCAGCCUCUUACUACAAAUAACGUUAUCUUGCAUUUUCAAUAGAUGUUACUAUGAUAUUAGUAGAGCUCUGUCAGAAGAUACAAAACUGUGAGAAUAUGAGCUAUAAAGAUGUAUAGUCAUGACCUCAGUCUUGAUGUGUUUUCUCAGCUGCUUAUCAAAAGCAUGAGGUUUUAGAUGAACAG